Molecule: transfer RNA, 72 nt
Filed under: Ovis aries (sheep)
Lineage: Eukaryota; Metazoa; Chordata; Mammalia; Artiodactyla; Bovidae
Also listed under: 1 other name
Rfam family: tRNA
About the family: Transfer RNA (tRNA) molecules are approximately 80 nucleotides in length. Their secondary structure includes four short double-helical elements and three loops (D, anti-codon, and T loops). Further hydrogen bonds mediate the characteristic L-shaped molecular structure. tRNAs have two regions of fundamental functional importance: the anti-codon, which is responsible for specific mRNA codon recognition, and the 3' end, to which the tRNAs corresponding amino acid is attached (by aminoacyl-tRNA synthetases). tRNAs cope with the degeneracy of the genetic code in two manners: having more than one tRNA (with a specific anti-codon) for a particular amino acid; and 'wobble' base-pairing, i.e. permitting non-standard base-pairing at the 3rd anti-codon position.
Source: Rfam by way of RNAcentral
UCCCUGGUGGCUCAGAGGUUAAAGCAUCUGCCCGCAAUGCAGGAGACCUGGGUUCGAUCCCUGGGUUGGGAA